This 338-nucleotide ribosomal RNA is filed under the name uncultured bacterium. RNAcentral describes it as "bacterial SSU rRNA". It matches the Rfam family "Bacterial small subunit ribosomal RNA", at positions 1 to 334 of the family's 1533-position model. The record is from RNAcentral.
CUAGCGACUUCAGAGUUUGAUCCUGGCUCAGGAUGAACGCUGGCGGCGUGCAUAACACAUUCAAGUCGAACGGACAAGGGGACUUCGGUCCCUGCGUUAGUGGCGGACGGGUGAGUAACGCGUGAGCAACCUGCCCUUGUGUGUGGAAUAACGUUUGGAAACGAACGCUAAUACCGCAUAAAGCAUAGAGAUCGCAUGGUCUUUAUGCCAAAGAUUUAUUGCACAAGGAUGGGCUCGCGUCCGAUUAGAUAGUUGGUGAGGUAACGGCCCACCAAGUCGACGAUCGGUAGCCGGACUGAGAGGUUGAACGGCCACAUUGGAACUGAGAAACGGUCCAG